UAUUAAGUGGCCGAAAGUAAGCACUAGAUUUUUAAUCUAGAUAAUGAUUAUCUUAUUAAUCCUUAAUAG
Molecule: transfer RNA, 69 nt
Filed under: Opisthoteuthis sp.
Lineage: Eukaryota; Metazoa; Mollusca; Cephalopoda; Octopoda; Opisthoteuthidae
Description: tRNA-Lys
Rfam family: tRNA
About the family: Transfer RNA (tRNA) molecules are approximately 80 nucleotides in length.
Source: RNAcentral